This 278-nucleotide unclassified non-coding RNA is filed under the name Hevea brasiliensis (rubber tree). The record is from RNAcentral. Lineage: Eukaryota; Viridiplantae; Streptophyta; Magnoliopsida; Malpighiales; Euphorbiaceae.
GGCAAUCCAACUUGAUCUGUCACAGCUGAGACCUUGAUGCUCCUUCCAGCAAUUUCCAGUUGUCCAUUCAAACUUAAAGCCGCUCUUGCAUCCUCAAGGCGAGCAAAUUGAACAAAACCAUAUCCUUUGCAAUGCCCAGUUUCUAGCUCACGGGGCAACUGAACCAGCUCCACUUGACCAAAUGGUUCAAGCACCAAUCGAAGUUGCUCCUCGGUGAUGUUGAAGUGAAGAUUACCAAUGUACAAUCUUCUAGCUCCACCUGAAUAAGGACCGACAAG